CCUACGGGAGGCAGCAGUGAGGAAUAUUGGUCAAUGGACGAGAGUCUGAACCAGCCAAGUAGCGUGAAGGAUGACUGCCCUAUGGGUUGUAAACUUCUUUUAUAUGGGAAUAAAACAGGGUAUGCAUACCCUCUUGUAUGUACCAUAUGAAUAAGGAUCGGCUAAUUCCGUGCCAGCAGCCGCGGUAAUACGGAGGAUCCGAGCGUUAUCCGGAUUUAUUGGGUUUAAAGGGAGCGUAGGUGGAUUGUUAAGUCAGUUGUGAAAGUUUGCGGCUCAACCGUAAAAGUGCAGUUGAAACUGGCAGUCUUGAGUACAGUAAAGGUAGGCGGAAUUCGUGGUGUAGCGGUGAAAUGCUUAGAUAUCACGAAGAACUCCGAUUGCGAAGGCAGCUCACUGGACUGCAACUGACGCUGAUGCUCGAAAGUGUGGGUAUCGAACAGGAUUAGAUACCCCAGUAGUC
Molecule: ribosomal RNA, 460 nt
Filed under: uncultured bacterium
Lineage: Bacteria
Description: partial 16S ribosomal RNA
Rfam family: Bacterial small subunit ribosomal RNA
Source: RNAcentral